This 1193-nucleotide ribosomal RNA is filed under the name Levilactobacillus brevis. Its description in RNAcentral is "bacterial SSU rRNA". It matches the Rfam family "Bacterial small subunit ribosomal RNA", at positions 159 to 1333 of the family's 1533-position model. Lineage: Bacteria; Bacillati; Bacillota; Bacilli; Lactobacillales; Lactobacillaceae. The record is from RNAcentral.
GGUGCUAAUACCGUAUAACAACAAAAUCCGCAAGGAUUUUGUUUGAAAGGUGGCUUCGGCUAUCACUUCUGGAUGAUCCCGCGGCGUAUUAGUUAGUUGGUGAGGUAAAGGCCCACCAAGACGAUGAUACGUAUGCCAACCUGAGAGGGUAAUCGGCCACACAUGGGACUGAGACCACGGCCCAAACUCCUACGGGAGGCAGCAGUAGGGAAUCUUCCACAAUGGACGAAAGUCUGAUGGAGCAAUGCCGCGUGAGUGAAGAAGGGUUUCGGCUCGUAAAACUCUGUUGUUAAAGAAGAACACCUUUGAGAGUAACUGUUCAAGGGUGGACGGUAUUUAACCAGAAAGCCACGGCUAAAUACGUGCCAGCAGGCCGCGGUAAUACGUAGGUGGCAAGCGUUGUCCGGAUUUAUUGGGCGUAAAGCGAGCGCAGGCGGUUUUUUAAGUCUGAUGUGAAAGCCUUCGGCUUAACCGGAGAAGUGCAUCGGAAACUGGGAGACUUGAGUGCAGAAGAGGACAGUGGAACUCCAUGUGUAGCGGUGGAAUGCGUAGAUAUAUGGAAGAACACCAGUGGCGAAGGGCGGCUGUCUAGUCUGUAACUGACGCUGAGGCUCGAAAGCAUGGGUAGCGAACAGGAUUAGAUACCCUGGUAGUCCAUGCCGUAAACGAUGAGUGCUAAGUGUUGGAGGGUUUCCGCCCUUCAGUGCUGCAGCUAACGCAUUUAAGCACUCCGCCUGGGGAGUACGACCGCAAGGUUGAAACUCAAAGGAAUUGACGGGGGCCCGCACAAGCGGUGGAGCAUGUGGUUUAAUUCGAAGCUACGCGAAGAACCUUACAAGGUCUUGACAUCCUUCUGCCAAUCUUAGAGAUAAGACGUUCCCUUCCGGGACAGAAUGACAGGUGGUGCAGGGAUGUCGUCAGCUCGUGUCGUGAGAUGUUGGGUUAAGUCCCGCAACGAGCGCAACCCUUAUUAUCAGUUGCCAGCAUUCAGUUGGGCACUCUGGUGAGACUGCCGGUGACAAACCGGAGGAAGGUGGGGAUGACGUCAAAUCAUCAUGCCCCUUAUGACCUGGGCUACACACGUGCUACAAUGGACGGUACAACGAGUUGCGAAGUCGUGAGGCUAAGCUAAUCUUUUAAAGCCGUUCUCAGUUCGGAUUGUAGGUGCAACUUGCCUACGUGAAGUGGGAAUC